RNAcentral lists this ribosomal RNA (467 nucleotides) under uncultured bacterium. Its description in RNAcentral is "partial 16S ribosomal RNA". It matches the Rfam family "Bacterial small subunit ribosomal RNA", at positions 39 to 506 of the family's 1533-position model. The record is from RNAcentral.
GGGGGGGGGGGGGGGGGGGGGGGGCGCGGGGGGGUCGGGCGGGGGGGCCCUGCGUUUGGGGGGUGCUCGAGUGGCGAACGGGUGGGUAACACGUGAGUAACCUGCCCUUGACUUUGGGAUAACUUCAGGAAACUGGGGCUAAUACCGGCUAGGAGCUCCUGCUGCCUGGUGGGGGUUGGAAAGUUUCGGCGGUUGGGGAUGGACUCGCGGCUUAUCAGCUUGUUGGUGGGGUAGUGGCUUACCAAGGCUUUGACGGGUAGCCGGCCUGAGAGGGUGACCGGCCACAUUGGGACUGAGAUACGGCCCAGACUCCUACGGGAGGCAGCAGUGGGGAAUAUUGCACAAUGGGCGGAAGCCUGAUGCAGCAACGCCGCGUGCGGGAUGACGGCCUUCGGGUUGUAAACCGCUUUCGCCUGUGACGAAGCGUGAGUGACGGUAAUGGGUAAAGAAGCACCGGCUAACUACGU